AACGAACGCUGGCGGCAUGCCUAACACAUGCAAGUCGAACGAGACGGUCGGGUCUAGGGGCGCACGGGUGCGUAACGCGGGGGAAGCUGCCCGUAGGUUAGGAAUAACUCACCGAAAGGGGUGCUAAUACCGGAGAAGGUCAUCGGAGCAAAGACUUAUCGCAUUUGGAUGGGCGCGCGUUGGAUUAGGUGGUUGGUAGUGUAAAAGCCGACCAAGGGGACGAUGCAUGGCUGGUCUGAGAGGAUGCUCAGCCACACUUGGAAUGAGACACGGCCCACACGCCUACGCAAGGCAGCAGUAGGUUAUAUUGUACACUGAGCGCUAACCUGAUCCAGCCAUGUCGCGUGAGUCAUGCAGCCCUUAGGAUUCUACUGCUCUUUUACCCGGGAUGUUAAUGACAGUACCGGGGGAAUAAGCUCCGGCUAACUACGUG
RNAcentral lists this ribosomal RNA (433 nucleotides) under uncultured bacterium. RNAcentral describes it as "partial 16S ribosomal RNA". It matches the Rfam family "Bacterial small subunit ribosomal RNA", at positions 29 to 507 of the family's 1533-position model. The record is from RNAcentral.